AUUGAACGCUGGCGGCAGGCCUAACACAUGCAAGUCGAGCGGAUGAAGGGAGCUUGCUCCUGGAUUCAGCGGCGGACGGGUGAGUAAUGCCUAGGAAUCUGCCUGGUAGUGGGGGAUAACGUCCGGAAACGGGCGCUAAUACCGCAUACGUCCUGAGGGCGAACGUGGGGGAUCUUCGGACCUCACGCUAUCAGAUGAGCCUAGGUCGGAUUAGCUAGUUGGUGGGGUAAAGGCCUACCAAGGCGACGAUCCGUAACUGGUCUGAGAGGAUGAUCAGUCACACUGGAACUGAGACACGGUCCAGACUCCUACGGGAGGCAGCAGUGGGGAAUAUUGGACAAUGGGCGAAAGCCUGAUCCAGCCAUGCCGCGUGUGUGAAGAAGGUCUUCGGAUUGUAAAGCCCUUUAAGUUGGGAGGAAGGGCAGUAAGCUAAUACCUUGCUGUUUUGACGUUACCAACAGAAUAAGCACCGGCUAACUUCGUG
RNAcentral lists this ribosomal RNA (484 nucleotides) under uncultured bacterium. RNAcentral's name for it is "partial 16S ribosomal RNA". It matches the Rfam family "Bacterial small subunit ribosomal RNA", at positions 30 to 507 of the family's 1533-position model. The record is from RNAcentral.